CGGCUCAUUAAAUCAGUUAUCGUUUAUUUGAUAGUACCUUACUACUUGGAUACCUGUGGUAAUUCUAGAGCUAAUACAUGCUAAAAACCCCAACUUCGGGAGGGGUGUAUUUAUUAGAUAAAAAACCAAUGCCCCUCGGGGCUCCUUGGUGAUUCAUAAUAACUUCUCAGAUCGCAUGGCCUUGCGCCGGCGACGGUUCAUUCAAAUUUCUGCCCUAUCAACUUUCGAUGGUAAGGUAGUGGCUUACCAUGGUUUCAACGGGUAACGGGGAAUUAGGGUUCGAUUCCGGAGAGGGAGCCUGAGAAACGGCUACCACAUCCAAGGAAGGCAGCAGGCGCGCAAAUUACCCAAUUCCGAUACGGAGAGGUAGUGACAAUAAAUACUGAUACAGGGCUCUUUUGGGUCUUGUAAUUGGAAUGAGUACAAUUUAAACCUCUUAACGAGGAACAAUUGGAGGGCAAGUCUGGUGCCAGCAGCCGCGGUAAUUCCAGCUCCAAUAGCGUAUAUUAAAGUUGUUGCAGUUAAAAAGCUCGUAGUUGAACCUUUGGCCUGGCUGGCAGGUCCGCCUCACCGCGUGCACUUGUCCGGCCGGGCCUUUUCUUCUGGGCAACCGCAUGCCCUUCACUGGGUGUGUUGGGGACCAGGACUUUUUACUUUGAAAAAAUUAGAGUGUUCAAAGCAGGCCUUUGCUCGAAUACGUUAGCAUGGAAUAAUAGAAUAGGACGUGCGGUCCUAUUUUGUUGGUUCUAGGACCGCCGUAAUGAUUAAUAGGGACAGUCGGGGGCAUCAGUAUUCAUUUGUCAGAGGUGAAAUUCUUGGAUUUAUUGAAGACUAACUACUGCGAAAGCAUUUGCCAAGGAUGUUUUCAUUAAUCAGUGAACGAAAGUUAGGGGAUCGAAG
This 900-nucleotide ribosomal RNA is filed under the name Spegazzinia musae. RNAcentral describes it as "SSU rRNA". It matches the Rfam family "Eukaryotic small subunit ribosomal RNA", at positions 94 to 1003 of the family's 1831-position model. The record is from RNAcentral. Lineage: Eukaryota; Fungi; Ascomycota; Dothideomycetes; Pleosporales; Didymosphaeriaceae.